Molecule: ribosomal RNA, 460 nt
Filed under: uncultured bacterium
Lineage: Bacteria
Description: partial 16S ribosomal RNA
Rfam family: Bacterial small subunit ribosomal RNA
Source: RNAcentral
CCUACGGGAGGCAGCAGUGAGGAAUAUUGGUCAAUGGGCGGAAGCCUGAACCAGCCAAGUCGCGUGCAGGAUGACGGCCCUACGGGUUGUAAACUGCUUUUAUACGGGAAUAACGCGCCUUACGUGUAGGGCUUUGCAUGUACCGUAUGAAUAAGGAACGGCUAAUUCCGUGCCAGCAGCCGCGGUAAUACGGAAGGUCCGGGCGUUAUCCGGAUUUAAUGGGUUUAAAGGGAGCGUAGGCCGCAUGUCAAGCGUGCUGUGAAAUGUCCGGGCUCAACCCGGGGCUUGCAGCGCGAACUGGCGUGCUUGAGUCCGCGGAAAGCAGGCGGAAUUCGUCGUGUAGCGGUGAAAUGCUUAGAUAUGACGAAGAACCCCGAUUGCGAAGGCAGCUUGCUGCAGCGGAACUGACGCUGAUGCUCGAAAGCGCGGGUAUCGAACAGGAUUAGAUACCCGUGUAGUC